Ictalurus punctatus (channel catfish) is the source of this 2171-nucleotide long non-coding RNA. Lineage: Eukaryota; Metazoa; Chordata; Actinopteri; Siluriformes; Ictaluridae. The record is from Ensembl.
CAUACAUCAUCACCGAAACCCCUCCUCAUACAUGACAUCAUCACCGAAACCCCUCCUCAUACAUUACAUCAUCACCGAAACCCCUCCUCAUACAUUACAUCAUAACCGAAACCCCUCCUCAUACAUGACAUCAUCACCGAAACCCCUCCUCAUACAUUACAUCAUCACCGAAACCCCUCCUCAUACAUUACAUCAUCACCAAAACCCCUCCUCAUACAUGACAUCAUCACCAAACCCCUCCUCAUACAUCAUCACCGAAACCCCUCCUCAUACAUCAUCACCGAAACCCCUCCUCAUACAUCAUCACCGAAACCCCUCCUCAUACAUCAUCACCGAAACCCCUCCUCAUACAUCAUCACCGAAACCCCUCCUCAUACAUCAUCACCGAAACCCCUCCUCAUACAUGACAUCAUCACCGAAACCCCUCCUCAUACAUCAUCACCAAAACCCCUCCUCAUACAUCAUCACCGAAACCCCUCCUCAUACAUGACAUCAUCACCAAAACCCCUCCUCAUACAUGACAUCAUCACCAAAACCCCUCCUCAUACAUGACAUCAUCACCAAAACCCCUCCUCAUACAUGACAUCAUCACCAAAACCCCUCCUCAUACAUCAUAUUUUAAACAGCGUUCAGUGCAUUGUCACAGCGUACAGUAUCUGCUCAAAUUGACAUCAAAUUGGUGUCUUUAAUGAAGCAAAAAAUAUAUUGAUGUGGAAACCAUUUUUAAGUACAGUACCUGGACCAGCGCUGAACUGCAUAUUACAUGCGGUACAGCAAAUAAAACAGAGUUCAGUUCAGCGGUGAUAUAUCUGACUACACAUGUAAUUAAAACCUUACAACCUGAACUGAUCAGAUGUACACAUGGUCUUACAGUCACGUGUGUGUAUCUCCUCUCCCAAUUACACCUCAACCAACAAGCCCGACUCUCUCGCUCGCUCUCGCUCUCUCUCGCUCUCUCUCUCUCCUGCGUCAUGCCACAUUAACCAUGAGCACACACCACACACGUUGUGUGUUACCCCUGCUGCUCUACACACCACACCCGAGUGCACAGUGAGAGUGACUCGUUCACAGCGCCCGAGCGUAAACCUGAAACCUCAUCCCUAAACCUGUCCAUACCAUGAGAUCUGAUCUUAAAUUCCACACGCCUUUUUAUAUCAUCAUUAUUAUAGGAAGCAGGUGUAUUUUACUUGAUCUCUCGUCAGGGAUUAUACCGAGAUCUCUACUUCUGUCUUUCUUUCUUUGCUUACUUAGUAACUUCUUUCUUUCUUUCUUAGUAACUUCUUUCUUUCUUUCUUUCUUUCUUUCUUAGUAACUUCUUUCUUUCGUUCUUAGCAACUUCUUUCUUUCUUUCUUUCUUCUUUCUUAGUAACUUCUUUCUUUCUUUCUUUCUUUCUUUCUUAGCAACUUCUUUCUUUCUUUCUUUCUUUGCUUACUUAGUAACUUCUUUCUUUCUUAGUAACUUCUUCUUUCUUUCUUUCUUUCUUUCUUUCUUUCUUAGCAACUUCUUUCUUUCUUUCUUUCUUUCUUUCUUAGUAACUUCUUUCUUUCGUUCUUAGCAACUUCUUUCUUUCUUUCUUUCUUUCUUUCUUAGUAACUUCUUUCUUUCUUCUUUGCUUACUUAGUAACUUCUUUCUUUCGUUCUUAGUAACUUCUUUCUUUCUUUCUUUCUUAGCAACUUCUUUCUUUCUUUCUUUCUUUGCUUACUUAGUAACUUCUUUCUUUUGUUCUUAGUAACUUCUUUCUUUCUUUCUUUCUUUCUUUCUUUCUUUCUUUCUUUCUUUCUUUAUAACUUCUUUCUUUCUUUCGUUCUUAGUAACUUCUUUCUUUCUUUCUUUCUUAGCAACUUCUUUCUUUCUUUCUUUCUUUCUUUGCUUACUUAGUAAUUUCUUCUUUCUUUCUUUCUUUCUUUCUUUCUUUGCUUACUUAGUAAUUUCUUUCUUUCUUUCUUCUUUCUUUCUUUCUUUCUUUCUUUCUUUCUUUCUUUCUUUCUUUUCGUUUUGAAAUCCUGCUCACACAGUUAUUAUUUUUGUUUGUACCUGCCUGUUACAUUUUCUAACAAAUUUAGUUGGUUCUCAUUCCCAAAAUAUAAGCACCUAGCAGAAUCGUUUAAGCCAUCACGACUAAUGAUGAAUAAAUAAAUGCUGUAAACGCAUGUUAAUCGACACCGGAUC